AUUGAACGCUGUCGGCAGGCCUAACACAUGCAAGUCGAGCGGCAGCGGAAAGUAGCUUGCUACUUUGCCGGCGAGCGGCGGACGGGUGAGUAAUGUCUGGGAAACUGCCUGAUGGAGGGGGAUAACUACUGGAAACGGUAGCUAAUACCGCAUAAUGUCGCAAGACCAAAGAGGGGGACCUUCGGGCCUCUUGCCAUCAGAUGUGCCCAGAUGGGAUUAGCUAGUAGGUGGGGUAACGGCUCACCUAGGCGACGAUCCCUAGCUGGUCUGAGAGGAUGACCAGCCACACUGGAACUGAGACACGGUCCAGACUCCUACGGGAGGCAGCAGUGGGGAAUAUUGCACAAUGGGCGCAAGCCUGAUGCAGCCAUGCCGCGUGUAUGAAGAAGGCCUUCGGGUUGUAAAGUACUUUCAGCGGGGAGGAAGGUGCUGAGGUUAAUAACCUCAGCAAUUGACGUUACCCGCAGAAGAAGCACCGGCUAACUCCGUGCCAGCCGCCGCAGUAA
This 506-nucleotide ribosomal RNA is filed under the name uncultured bacterium. Its description in RNAcentral is "partial 16S ribosomal RNA". It matches the Rfam family "Bacterial small subunit ribosomal RNA", at positions 30 to 523 of the family's 1533-position model. The record is from RNAcentral.